This 65-nucleotide transfer RNA is filed under the name Ziczacella heptapotamica. RNAcentral describes it as "tRNA-Asp". It matches the Rfam family "tRNA". From Rfam's summary of the family: Transfer RNA (tRNA) molecules are approximately 80 nucleotides in length. Their secondary structure includes four short double-helical elements and three loops (D, anti-codon, and T loops). The record is from RNAcentral. Lineage: Eukaryota; Metazoa; Arthropoda; Insecta; Hemiptera; Cicadellidae.
AAAGAUUUAGUUUAAUUAAAACAUAAAAUUGUCAAUUUUAAAUUACUAUCUAAUAGUAAUCUUUU